UACGUAGGGUGCGAGCGUUAAUCGGAAUUACUGGGCGUAAAGUGUGCGCAGGCGGCCGAGUAAGUCGAGUGUGAAAGCCCCGAGCUUAACUUGGGAACUGCGCUCGAAACUACUUGGCUAGAGUGUGGCAGAGGGAGGUGGAAUUCCACGUGUAGCGGUGAAAUGCGUAGAGAUGUGGAGGAACACCGAUGGCGAAGGCAGCCUCCUGGGCCAACACUGACGCUCAUGCACGAAAGCGUGGGGAGCAAACAGG
RNAcentral lists this ribosomal RNA (253 nucleotides) under uncultured bacterium. RNAcentral describes it as "partial 16S ribosomal RNA". It matches the Rfam family "Bacterial small subunit ribosomal RNA", at positions 524 to 776 of the family's 1533-position model. The record is from RNAcentral.